GGGGUUGUGGCUCAGUGAUAGAGCACUCGCUUAGCACGUGAAAGGCCCUGGGUUCGAUUCUCAGCACCACA
RNAcentral lists this transfer RNA (71 nucleotides) under Marmota monax (woodchuck). Its description in RNAcentral is "tRNA.Ala". It matches the Rfam family "tRNA". From Rfam's summary of the family: Transfer RNA (tRNA) molecules are approximately 80 nucleotides in length. The record is from RNAcentral. Lineage: Eukaryota; Metazoa; Chordata; Mammalia; Rodentia; Sciuridae.